RNAcentral lists this ribosomal RNA (139 nucleotides) under Phallichthys tico. Its description in RNAcentral is "partial 16S ribosomal RNA". Lineage: Eukaryota; Metazoa; Chordata; Actinopteri; Cyprinodontiformes; Poeciliidae. The record is from RNAcentral.
GUUUCUAUCUAUGAAGUGCUUUCUCCCAGUACGAAAGGAUCGGAGAAAAAAGGUCCAUGCUUAAAGUAAACCUUUCCCCCACCUGAUGAAGACAACUUAAUCAGACAAAAGGCACCCACCCAUGCCGUAGAUAACAGCU